Molecule: unclassified non-coding RNA, 240 nt
Filed under: soil metagenome
Description: partial contains 5.8S ribosomal RNA, internal transcribed spacer 2, and large subunit ribosomal RNA
Source: RNAcentral
AACACUGUUAACCUGCGGUACCUGCGGAAGGAUCAUUACAGAGUUGCAAAACUCCCACAAACCAUCGCGAAUCUUACCCGUACGGUUGCCUCGGCGCUGGCGGUCCGGAAGGCCCUCGGGCCCCCGGACCCUCGGGUCCCCCGCUCGCGGGGGGCUGCCCGCCGGAGUGCCGAAACCAAACUCUUGAUAUUUUAUGUCUCUCUGAGUAAACUUUUAAAUAAGUCAAAACUUUCAGCAAUG